UACGUAGGGGGCGAGCGUUGUCCGGAAUUAUUGGGCGUAAAGCGCGUGCAGGCGGUCUGUUAAGUCUGUGGUGAAAGCCCGGGGCCCAACCCCGGAACUGCCGCGGAGACUGGGAGACUGGAGUGUCGGAGAGGAGUGCGGAAUACCAGGUGUAGCGGUGGAAUGCGUAGAGAUCUGGUGGAACACCGAUGGCGAAGGCAGCACUCUGGCCGAAUACUGACGCUGAGACGCGAAAGCGUGGGGAGCGAACGGG
RNAcentral lists this ribosomal RNA (253 nucleotides) under uncultured bacterium. RNAcentral describes it as "partial 16S ribosomal RNA". It matches the Rfam family "Bacterial small subunit ribosomal RNA", at positions 524 to 776 of the family's 1533-position model. The record is from RNAcentral.